GGCGCGAUGGCCGAGUAGUCAGGCAACGGUCUGCAAAACCGUCCACACCGGUGCGAAUCCGGUUCGCGCCU
RNAcentral lists this transfer RNA (71 nucleotides) under Candidatus Omnitrophota bacterium. RNAcentral describes it as "Candidatus Omnitrophica bacterium (groundwater metagenome) tRNA-Cys". It matches the Rfam family "tRNA". Rfam says of the family: Transfer RNA (tRNA) molecules are approximately 80 nucleotides in length. Lineage: Bacteria; Pseudomonadati; Candidatus Omnitrophota. The record is from RNAcentral.